RNAcentral lists this ribosomal RNA (253 nucleotides) under uncultured bacterium. RNAcentral describes it as "partial 16S ribosomal RNA". It matches the Rfam family "Bacterial small subunit ribosomal RNA", at positions 524 to 776 of the family's 1533-position model. The record is from RNAcentral.
UACGGAGGGGGCUAGCGUUGUUCGGAAUUACUGGGCGUAAAGCGCGCGUAGGCGGACCUGCAAGUCGGGGGUGAAAGCCCGAGGCUCAACCUCGGAACUGCCUUCGAUACUGCGGGUCUCGAGUCCGGGAGAGGUGAGUGGAAUUCCGGGUGUAGUGGUGAAAUGCGUAGAUAUCCGGAGGAACACCAGUGGCGAAGGCGACUUUCUGGCCUGUUCUUGACGCUGAGGCGCGAAAGCUAGGGGAGCAAACGGG